RNAcentral lists this ribosomal RNA (750 nucleotides) under Pyricularia oryzae. RNAcentral's name for it is "eukaryotic LSU rRNA". It matches the Rfam family "Eukaryotic large subunit ribosomal RNA", at positions 76 to 854 of the family's 3401-position model. The record is from RNAcentral. Lineage: Eukaryota; Fungi; Ascomycota; Sordariomycetes; Magnaporthales; Pyriculariaceae.
UGCCCCAGUAACGGCGAGUGAAGCGGCAACAGCUCAAAUUUGAAAUCUGGCCCCCCCGGCCCGAGUUGUAAUUUGCAGAGGAUGCUUUUGGUGAGGCACCUACCGAGUCCCCUGGAAUGGGGCGCCAUAGAGGGUGAGAGCCCCGUAUGGUAGGACGCCGAACCUCUGUAAAGCUCCUUCGACGAGUCGAGUAGUUUGGGAAUGCUGCUCUAAAUGGGAGGUAAAUUUCUUCUAAAGCUAAAUACCGGCCAGAGACCGAUAGCGCACAAGUAGAGUGAUCGAAAGAUGAAAAGCACUUUGAAAAGAGGGUUAAAAAGUACGUGAAAUUGUUGAAAGGGAAGCGCUUGUGACCAGACUUGCGCCGGGCGGAUCAUCCAGCGUUCUCGCUGGUGCACUCCGCCCGGUUCAGGCCAGCAUCGGUUUUCGCCGGGGGACAAAGGCUUCGGGAACGUGGCUCCUUUCGGGGAGUGUUAUAGCCCGUUGCGUAAUACCCCGGCGGGGACCGACGACCGCGCUUCGGCAAGGAUGCUGGCGUAAUGGUCAUCAGCGACCCGUCUUGAAACACGGACCGAGGAGUCAAGCAUUAGUGCGAGUGUUUGGGUGUAAAACCCGCACGCGUAAUGAAAGUGAACGUAGGUGAGAGCUUCGGCGCAUCAUCGACCGAUCCUGAUGUUUUCGGAAGGAUUUGAGUAGGAGCAUUAACGCUUGGACCCGAAAGAUGGUGAACUAUACUUGAAUAGGGUGAAGCCA